This 780-nucleotide long non-coding RNA is filed under the name Androctonus crassicauda. Lineage: Eukaryota; Metazoa; Arthropoda; Arachnida; Scorpiones; Buthidae. The record is from RNAcentral.
CAUGUUGCAUGAAUCAUGGAUUAUAUAUGUAAAUAUGUUUUAUUUGAAAAUGCAUACUCUUUCUGCUAUUAUAAUAAAAUAGAAAAACUAUUUCAAAUAAUUUUCAUUGAUAAGUGUUUAAUAUAUGUUGAUUAUAAUAAAACUCAAACAAUAUUUAUUUUGUAUCAUGACAAUUUCAACAACUUUUUCUGUGGGUUAUACAAAUCCAUGGUAUACGAGGGUCAACUGUGUACAGUAUAUUUUAAAAUGUGUUAUUUUUAAAGCAAUAUAAUUAAAUUUAUAUGUUUUAUUAUUUAUAUAUUACAAAACACAUAUAUCAUAGUUAUAUUAGCGAAUUAAAGAUUUAAAAACAAACAAAUCCGUAAAAUAUCAUAAUCAUAAUUGCCAAUGUUCAAAAUUUUUAAAAUGAUAUUAGAGCAUGCUAUCUAUUUAAGUCUUCCUCUCUUGAAAUGAUGAGCAUUGAUUAGUCUUUUUCAGUUGAAAGUGCUGUAAUCAACCCAACUCAGUCAUAUGCCUCACCCCUAUUCUCAGUCAGAACAGAUGCAUCCAAUUUUAACUUCCACCAUUCAGAUUCAAAUUGAUAGACUAUAACCAAUCAACUUCCUGUAAGCUCCAUUUUGUGGAGCAAUGAACACCUUUUCGGAACUGACUGUACUUACCUUAUGCUAUCUAAUCCCCUGGGAACCAAUUACUUUUCUAAUAUUAUCUCUCUACCAUAUGUAUUGUUGGGCAGGAUGUAUUUUGUCUUGGCUGCUAUUCUAUACUUUUGUAGUCCAUAAG